CUGUAUGUACCCUGUAGAUCCGAAUUUGUGUAAAAGAAACUGCGUCACAAAUUCGCGUCUAGGGGAAUAUGUAGU
MicroRNA precursor from Anolis carolinensis (green anole), 75 nucleotides. It matches the Rfam family "mir-10 microRNA precursor family". Rfam says of the family: In this case the mature sequence comes from the 5' arm of the precursor. The extents of the hairpin precursors are not generally known and are estimated based on hairpin prediction. The record is from Rfam. NCBI's taxonomy places the organism in Eukaryota, Metazoa, Chordata, Lepidosauria, Squamata, Anolidae.